Suricata suricatta (meerkat) is the source of this 487-nucleotide long non-coding RNA. RefSeq lists it as uncharacterized. The transcript is spliced from 3 exons. The record is from RefSeq and is a predicted model, not a curated record. NCBI's taxonomy places the organism in Eukaryota, Metazoa, Chordata, Mammalia, Carnivora, Herpestidae.
UCCCGCCGGCUGGUUCCCCUGCGCGGCUCAGGGGCCGGGUCGCCCCGUGCGGCUGCGCCCUGGGCCCCGCUCUCCGGCCCCACCAGUUCCUUGGGGUGGGGGGCGUCGGCGGAGGCGGGGCUCUGACCUUGGCCGCAGGGCCGCGGAGGACAGCGUGGGCUGACUUCCCAGGAGGGACGCCUCAGCAGCACUGAGCAGACCCCUGGCCCUGGCCCUGGACGCAGUCAGGAACAGGGUGCCUCCCCGCCUUCCUCGUCCCUUGGGGCAGGAGCGUGAACCGGGAGAGAAGACCCCUGCCCGUGGAGAAGGUCCGACGAAGCACAGGACGGUCCCUGUCACCCCGCUGACACCGUAGCUGGCUCCACUUCCCAGCGCAGCCAGGGCCUGGUCCGGGCGCCACUCGGCUAACGCCUGCUGCCGAUUGGUGUAGCUUUGUGACAUCACUUGAGACAGAGCAGGAGCAUGGGAGGGGCAGAGAGAGAGGAAG